Molecule: ribosomal RNA, 442 nt
Filed under: uncultured bacterium
Lineage: Bacteria
Description: partial 16S ribosomal RNA
Rfam family: Bacterial small subunit ribosomal RNA
Source: RNAcentral
CCUACGGGUGGCAGCAGUGGGGAAUAUUGGGCAAUGGGCGAAAGCCUGACCCAGCAACGCCGCGUGAAGGAAGCAGGCUUUCGGGUUGUAAACUUCUUUUGACAGGGAAGAGCAGAAGACGGUACCUGUCGAAUAAGCCACGGCUAACUACGUGCCAGCAGCCGCGGUAAUACGUAGGUGGCAAGCGUUGUCCGGAUUUACUGGGUGUAAAGGGCGUGUAGCCGGGCUGACAAGUCAGAUGUGAAAUCCGGGGGCUCAACCCCCGAACUGCAUUUGAAACUGUUGGUCUUGAGUAUCGGAGAGGCAGGCGGAAGUCCUGGUGUAGCGGUGAAAUGCGUAGAUAUCAGGAGGAACACCGGCGGCGAAGGCGGCUUACUGGACUGUAACUGACGUUGAGGCUCGAAGGCGUGGGGAGCAAACAGGAUUAGAUACCCUAGUAGUC